This is a non-coding RNA of Octopus bimaculoides (California two-spot octopus), 107 nucleotides long. The record is from Rfam. Lineage: Eukaryota; Metazoa; Mollusca; Cephalopoda; Octopoda; Octopodidae.
GAAUUUCUUCGGCAACACUGUUAAUAAAAUUGGAAGGAUACAGAUAGGAAUAGCAUAGUAUCUGCGCAAGGAUGAUAACUCAAAUUCGUGUAUCGUUCCAUAUUUUG